UACGUAGGUGGCGAGCGUUGUCCGGAAUUACUGGGCGUAAAGGGUGCGUAGGCGGGAUAUUAAGUUAGAUGUGAAAACCCGGGGCUUAACCUCGGGACUGCAUUUAAAACUGGUAACCUGGAGUACAGGAGAGGUAAGCGGAAUUCCUAGUGUAGCGGUGAAAUGCGUAGAUAUUAGGAAGAACAUCAGUGGCGAAGGCGGCUUACUGGACUGAAACUGACGCUGAGGCACGAAAGCGUGGGGAGCAAACAGG
Molecule: ribosomal RNA, 253 nt
Filed under: uncultured bacterium
Lineage: Bacteria
Description: partial 16S ribosomal RNA
Rfam family: Bacterial small subunit ribosomal RNA
Source: RNAcentral